This 396-nucleotide ribosomal RNA is filed under the name Burkholderia sp. BV52. Its description in RNAcentral is "bacterial SSU rRNA". It matches the Rfam family "Bacterial small subunit ribosomal RNA", at positions 992 to 1392 of the family's 1533-position model. The record is from RNAcentral. Lineage: Bacteria; Pseudomonadati; Pseudomonadota; Betaproteobacteria; Burkholderiales; Burkholderiaceae.
GGAAGUCUGCUGAGAGGUGGAUGUGCCCGAAAGGGAGCCAUAACACAGGUGCUGCAUGGCUGUCGUCAGCUCGGGUCGUGAGAUGUUGGGUUAAGUCCCGCAACGAGCGCAACCCUUGUCCCUAGUUGCUACGCAAGAGCACUCCAGGGAGACUGCCGGUGACAAACCGGAGGAAGGUGGGGAUGACGUCAAGUCCUCAUGGCCCUUAUGGGUAGGGCUUCACACGUCAUACAAUGGUCGGAACAGAGGGUCGCCAACCCGCGAGGGGGAGCCAAUCCCAGAAAACCGAUCGUAGUCCGGAUCGCACUCUGCAACUCGGGUGCGUGAAGCUGGAAUCGCUAGUAAUCGCGGAUCAGCAUGCCGCGGUGAAUACGUUCCCGGGUCUUGUACACACCG